GAUGAACGCUGGCGGCGUGCCUAAUACAUGCAAGUCGAGCGAACAGACGAGGAGCUUGCUCCUCUGACGUUAGCGGCGGACGGGUGAGUAACACGUGGAUAACCUCCCUAUAAGACUGGGAUAACUUCGGGAAACCGGAGCUAAUACCGGAUAAUAUGUUGAAUCGCAUGGUUCAACAGUGAAAGACGGUCUUGCUGUCACUUAUAGAUGGAUCCGCGCCGCAUUAGCUAGUUGGUAAGGUAACGGCUUACCAAGGCAACGAUGCGUAGCCGACCUGAGAGGGUGAUCGGCCACACUGGAACUGAGACACGGUCCAGACUCCUACGGGAGGCAGCAGUAGGGAAUCUUCCGCAAUGGGCGAAAGCCUGACGGAGCAACGCCGCGUGAGUGAAGAAGGUCUUCGGAUCGUAAAACUCUGUUAUUAGGGAAGAACAAAUGUGUAAGUAACUACGCACGUCUUGACGGUACCUAAUCAGAAAGCAACGGCUAACUACGUG
Molecule: ribosomal RNA, 497 nt
Filed under: uncultured bacterium
Lineage: Bacteria
Description: partial 16S ribosomal RNA
Rfam family: Bacterial small subunit ribosomal RNA
Source: RNAcentral